Molecule: ribosomal RNA, 700 nt
Filed under: uncultured bacterium
Lineage: Bacteria
Description: bacterial SSU rRNA
Rfam family: Bacterial small subunit ribosomal RNA
Source: RNAcentral
AGAGUUUGAUCAUGGCUCAGAUUGAACGCUGGCGGAAUGCUUUACACAUGCAAGUCGAACGGCAGCACGGGAGCUUGCUCCUGGUGGCGAGUGGCGGACGGGUGAGUAAUAUAUCGGAACGUAUCUAUUAAUGGGGGAUAACUAGCCGAAAGGUUAGCUAAUACCGCAUACGCCCUGAGGGGGAAAGCUGGGGAUCUUCGGACCUGGCGUUAAUAGGGCGGCCGAUACCUGAUUAGCUAGUUGGUGGGGUAAAGGCCUACCAAGGCGACGAUCAGUAGCUGGUCUGAGAGGACGACCAGCCACACUGGGACUGAGACACGGCCCAGACUCCUACGGGAGGCAGCAGUGGGGAAUUUUGGACAAUGGGGGCAACCCUGAUCCAGCCAUUCCGCGUGAGUGAAGAAGGCCUUCGGGUUGUAAAGCUCUUUCGCAAGGGAAGAAACGAUGUAAGUGAAUAGCUUAUGUUAAUGACGGUACCUUGAUAAGAAGCACCGGCUAACUACGUGCCAGCAGCCGCGGUAAUACGUAGGGUGCAAGCGUUAAUCGGAAUUACUGGGCGUAAAGCGUGCGCAGGCGGCUUUGUAAGUCAGAUGUGAAAUCCCCGAGCUCAACUUGGGAACUGCGUUUGAAACUACAAGACUAGAAUAUGUCAGAGGGGGGCAGAAUUCCACGUGUAGCAGUGAAAUGCGUAGAGAUGUGG